This is a long non-coding RNA of Alligator mississippiensis (American alligator), 1020 nucleotides long. RefSeq lists it as uncharacterized. The record is from RefSeq and is a predicted model, not a curated record. The transcript has 3 exons. NCBI's taxonomy places the organism in Eukaryota, Metazoa, Chordata, Crocodylia, Alligatoridae.
AACUUUUCCCACCUCUCUCUUACAGAUGUGAAAGAUUGAGGAAGCUACAAUUCUUUUGCUUUGUAAUGCAGUUACUCAGGAAAAGACUAAUUCAGUGGCGGUGUUAUUACAGCAGGUCCUCAGGUCUCUAAACACAGCCAGCAGCUAUUAGCCAGGCGUCAGCUACUGGACGUGAUUUCCCACUGCCCAGCUGUGUGAUUAUCAAGGUAACUAACACAAAACCAUGUGACGAGGCAGAGCGGCUGCGGGCCACUGGAGCGCAGAGUCUUGGAGGCAGCUUGUAAGCAGAGAAGAACUGGAAAGCACAACACAUCGUUCUCUUCUGCCUCUUUCCAAGUGAAAGCAGAGCUAAGAAAAACAAGCCAUUUUACUCUAGCACGGCUGCAACAAUGCCAAAUGUCCAACGAAGACCUGAGCGCAGAGGCCAAAAGUUGGUGCAUGCAGAGACGGGGACUUCAGUGCUGCAGACUUUGUGUGAGCUCUCUGCCAUGGGGAAGAACAUCAGCAGGGAGUUACUCCAUCUCCCAGCCUCAGUUUCCCCACCUGAGGAAGGAAGAUAAGAGGUAACACAUGCAGAUUUAACAUUUAAACAGAAACCAUGAGCUGAGGAGAGAAAGGAGGAAUAUUAACAGAUGUGCCGAAUGAAUCACUAACAGAGCCGGAGAAAGGGAGGUGCUAGGAGGUCCAUUUCCCUUUGGAGGUCACAUAAAGAGUGCAACGUGUUCAGACCACGGGUCUGCAUGCUUUAAGUGCAAGCUUUGUACUAGACAAGCAUGGUAUAUCGUUGACGGAUGGGGUCUAUCCUUGUAAUGUGCCCACUGAGACGUAGGUGGCUACCGUCGCUGUCUGAAGUAGAAUUCCUUCCAGCUAGACUGGCCAACCCGUGUUCCUCCAUCGCACCAGGCUGUACAGGUGCAAGUCAGCCUGACUCUCUACUCAAGCGUUUGACUCCAGAAGUUUCCAGUUCAAUCCCUGGCAUCUUUCACAACACUGGCCGGUACCGAUGUGUGCGACUGGGCA